UAGCCUUGACAUACUACAGAAUUUGACAGAGAUGUUGAAGUGCCUUCGGGAGCUGUAAUACAGGUGCUGCACGGCUGUCGUCAGCUCGUGUCGUGAGAUGUUGGGUUAAGUCCCGCAACGAGCGCAACCCUCGUCCUUAGUUACUAACGGUUCGGCCGAGGACUCUAAGGAGACUGCCUUCGUAAGGAGGAGGAAGGUGAGGACGACGUCAAGUCAUCAUGGCCCUUAUGGCUAGGGCUACACACGUGCUACAAUGGGGCGUACAGAGUGUUGCGAUACCGCGAGGUGGAGCUAAUCACUUAAAGCGUCUCUCAGUUCGGAUAGCAGUCUGCAACUCGACUGCUUGAAGCUGGAAUCACUAGUAAUCGUAGAUCAGCAAUGCUACGGUGAAUACGUUCCCGGGUCU
This 406-nucleotide ribosomal RNA is filed under the name uncultured bacterium. RNAcentral describes it as "bacterial SSU rRNA". It matches the Rfam family "Bacterial small subunit ribosomal RNA", at positions 976 to 1381 of the family's 1533-position model. The record is from RNAcentral.